This 253-nucleotide ribosomal RNA is filed under the name uncultured bacterium. Its description in RNAcentral is "partial 16S ribosomal RNA". It matches the Rfam family "Bacterial small subunit ribosomal RNA", at positions 524 to 776 of the family's 1533-position model. The record is from RNAcentral.
UACGUAGGUGGCAAGCGUUGUCCGGAUUUAUUGGGUUUAAAGGGUGCGUAGGCGGUUCCAUAAGUCAGUGGUGAAAUACGGCAGCUCAACUGUCGGGGUGCCAUUGAUACUGCGGAACUUGAGUACUGAUGAGGUAGGCGGAAUUGACGGUGUAGCGGUGAAAUGCGUAGAGAUCGGAAAGAACACCAACGGCGAAAGCACUCCGCUGGGCCGACACUGACACUGAGAGACGAAAGCUAGGGGAGCGAAUGGG